ACAAAGUGCUGGCAGUCUGUCUCACAUUUUGCCUCAUAAUCAACCACUGACCAUAUGCAACUUUAUCUCCUUUGCAGAGAGACAGAUUUUCAGUUCUUUGGACAAGACUUGGUGAUGGGACAGCUGCUAAAGGACCUCAAAGACCUUGAGAUUCUGUGAAAUUGAUAGACCAACAUUUGUGGCAGACCCCCUUAGCAAGGGACCAAGCAGAACUGUGGAGUCAUAUAAAGGUUACAUCUUGCAGCAAUGGACUUUAAUGAGAAUGCUGUACGGCCACAACUGAGAACAUCUAAAGGGAAACUUGUGUACAAGCUUCUCUUUCUAAAUGCCAAAAAGGGAGGACAUACUGUCAAACCUGUAAAGACAGAACCAACAUUUUGCUAUGUCACCAGCUUGAUGGACAGUGUUUCGAAGAGGCUGUCUGUGAUCCCCUUCCAUUUCUGGAUGCCGUACAGCAGAUUCCUGUGCCUCCGUACCUGUCUGCUCAGCAUGACAGACCUUCCAUGGAGGAAGAUUUAACCUAACCUUUCCAUCCCUCUUAAACGCCCAUGGUCAGCUCGAUAAACAUUCAUUGCAUUGUGCAAAGAAUAUAUGUUUAAGCACACAGGUUCAAGGCCGGGAUGGUCUGUCAUGCAUGAUAUCUCUCCAGGAACUUGGCUCAUUCUUCUAGUGACCUGCAAAAGGAAAAACCAUAAUGGCACUAUUUUUUUUACAGAAGUCUUUUAUACUUUAAGUAGCAGAAAACACAUGGCAUGACUUUUUUUACUGUAGUUAUACUACCUCUGGUAUUUUCCUGCAACAUACAAGUUCCAUCUCGAGAGGCAUGCAUGUACAAUUUCCAGAAGUAGACCUGUAAAAAAGAUAUUUAUAGAUUUUUAUGCAAUUUGUUAUUAGUAGGUUAAGAUUCUAAUUACUGUACACUUCAACUCCAGUUAUGAGUUCUAGAUAGUAAGUAAAGAAGCUAUCAUUGACUAUGUUUACAAGCACCCUCAAAAUGUGAUUACAAUUGGAUUUUGGCAAUUUUGAGAUUAUACCUCAUGUAAACGCAAUACUUCGAUAAAAAUAAUGACACUUUGUCAAUGUUACCGCACUAACUGAAGUGCAUGUAUGUUUUUGUAUAUGUGAAAGUUUUCCCUGCAGUUUGCCUUCAUAGAAACGACUCGAAUAACAUGACAGCAGCAUAUAAAAUUGUUACUUGCACUGUUACAAAAUUUCUGUCUUCAUAAAGGCACAGAAUAAUGAAAUGCAUCCAAAAGAACAUGUUCGUCAUUGCACUUUUGGUGUACAUGUAAACAUAGUCAUUGUCAUAUGGUAAAAUGCCAUUAAUUACAAUGUUGUUGCAGUGAUAAAAGUUAUGAGCUAACAUACAAAGUUAAUGAUACAUGCUUAGAAUUUCUACAAUUGGCGUUACAGCUAACUUAGGUUUUGUUUGUGCAUAC
Molecule: non-coding RNA, 1439 nt
Organism: Misgurnus anguillicaudatus (oriental weatherfish)
Lineage: Eukaryota; Metazoa; Chordata; Actinopteri; Cypriniformes; Cobitidae
Source: RefSeq, a predicted model, not a curated record